GUGAAUCAUCGAAUCUUUGAACGCACAUUGCGCCCGCCAGUAUUCUGGCGGGCAUGCCUGUUCGAGCGUCAUUUCAACCCUCAAACCCCCGGGUUUGGUGUUGGAGAUCGACAUGAGUCCCUCUGGGGCGAAGUCGUCUCCCAAAUAUAGUGGCGGUCUCGCUGUAGCUUCCUAUGCGUAGUAGCACACCUCGCACUGGAAAGCAGCGCGGCCACGCCGUUAAACCCCCCACUUUCUGAGUUUGACCUCGAAUCAGGUAGGAUUACCCGCUGAACUUAAGCAUAUCAAUAAGCGGAGGA
This 299-nucleotide unclassified non-coding RNA is filed under the name fungal sp. RNAcentral describes it as "partial contains 5.8S ribosomal RNA, internal transcribed spacer 2, and large subunit ribosomal RNA". The stretch from base 1 to 71 matches the Rfam family "5.8S ribosomal RNA", at positions 84 to 154 of the family's 154-position model. The record is from RNAcentral. Lineage: Eukaryota; Fungi.